UGAGUAACACGUGACUAACCAUACCCAUCGAAGUGCGGAAUAACCAUCGGGAAAACCGAACAGCUAAGGUCACCGCAUCAACAUCGAGCGCUUUUAAGAGCAUGCCGAUCAAAGGAGCAAUCCGGCUUGAGGAGGGGAGUCGCAGGCUGAUUAGCUAGUUGGACGGGGUAACGGAACCACCAAGGCGAAGAUCGGUAGCCAGGCCUGAGAGGGCGCACGGACAACACUGGAACUGAAACACGGUCCAGACUCCUACGGGAGGCAGCAGUGGGGAAUUUUGC
RNAcentral lists this ribosomal RNA (281 nucleotides) under uncultured fungus. RNAcentral's name for it is "partial 18S small subunit ribosomal RNA". It matches the Rfam family "Bacterial small subunit ribosomal RNA", at positions 107 to 367 of the family's 1533-position model. The record is from RNAcentral. Lineage: Eukaryota; Fungi.